Non-coding RNA from Hymenopellis radicata, 104 nucleotides. Lineage: Eukaryota; Fungi; Basidiomycota; Agaricomycetes; Agaricales; Physalacriaceae. The record is from the annotation of a GenBank genome assembly.
GGUGAGGUGGCCGAGCGGUCUAAGGCGCCAGACUAAGGUCCAUGCUGAUUUCCAGCAACAAAAUCUGGUCCGAAAGGGCAUGGGUUCGAAUCCCAUCCUCAUCA